Molecule: long non-coding RNA, 2264 nt
Organism: Brachypodium distachyon (stiff brome)
Lineage: Eukaryota; Viridiplantae; Streptophyta; Magnoliopsida; Poales; Poaceae
Exons: 2
Source: RefSeq, a predicted model, not a curated record
CCCCUCUCUCUCUCCCAACUCAUUUUCCCUCCAAUUUCUCUUCCUCUCCCGCCAAUUUCAGUUUCUCCCGCCGAUUUCUGAGUUCUGGGCCUUCUGGCUCUUUUCCCGCUGAGUUCUAUCGAGGGCAUCCAGAGAAGAGGGAAGCGGCGAUUUCAGCGCCUAGGCGACGUUCCUGGGCGCCUUAGUCCUAAUUCUAAGGCGAGAACGACGCCUUGAGGUCGCUGGGCGCUUCGACGCCUAAGCGUCGACUAGGCGACACUUUGAAAACCAUGGUCGUGAGUCUAGUUUAUAGUCAGUAAGCACUUGUAUACGUCUCGAAAAGGUUGGAACAUUUGGGUAUGCCAUAUGGGAUAUCCAUAGUUGAAACUUUCCGACGACAAAAACAACAUUUUGGUUGAUGCCAUUGGUUGUCGAAACUCAUUCACAAAAUGGCAUUCAUGACAUAGUUUUCUUAAAAUGGUAAAAAUGUUCUCUGCUCCUGCUAAUUAGAUCCAAGAGCAUCGCCUACCUCAUGGAUGUGUCUGCUAACCAUCUAGACCAUGCAUCCAGGAAGAUAAUGCACUUGUGUAGUGCAUGAAGCAAGAAGGCUUAAGACUCCUGCAGAACAUUGCAACAGAACACAAUUUUUUGUGCUAAUGAACAAGUAUUUGAUCUUGCUUACCAUGAUGAGCGACACAUCGAACAUUCAGAAGUAUCGUGCCUCCUUGGCAAUGUAGUGUGUUCCAUGAUGUCCUCUCAUGAGUGGCGCACUGUGGCCUUAUUUCCUCCUCCCACCACGCCAUGUGCUGGUGUCAUUAUCCUCUCCUCAGCAACCACGUGACCGUAUAUGCAGCUUGCCAGUAUGUCCUUACAGGCAGGAGUUCACCACACGUCCUCCCUACUUGCGCCUACAGGCCACGCCAGGUGCCUUGGGAUGCUUUGUAUUGCCAUUUCUGCCGGUCUUGUCCAUACCUUUUGAUAAUAUUUUGGGGAAUUUUCGUUUAUUUCAAUUGCAUUUUCCCAUUGAAAAACCGUGCGAAAAUGCAAAGUGUUCUACAAACUCUGGCAUGGAUUAAAAAGCAGAAAAGUUCCUUGUUCCUGAUCUGCCAGUGAAUAAUGAACUGCGCGGUGCCACUCCUAUUGAUAAAACCUAUGUGAUUUUGUACAUUCCAUCCAUUCUGUUUGGGUCUGGUUGGUUCAUGGAAUUGAAUAAAACCUUGUAAGGGCCAAUCCCCGAGAAUUCAGAGUCCCCAUUGCUAAUAUUAAGCCAUAUGUACGUUAAAAGUUAACUAUGAAAACACAAGAAUAUGAUCUAUCCAUGAUGUCGGCAAUAUAAUUUUUCUUCUCAUAUGUACACUUGUGCAUUAGACUUUUUUCUCAGAAACCUCCUAAGUGAUAAAAGGCGGAAUUAUCUUCUUUGUUUUUUCUUUAGUAUUGGAUCCAUUAUUCUUCAAAAUUGAUCUCGAAAUGUAUCAAUGUAUCCUUAAGUUUUUAAGGAACCUUAAUCAGUGAUUGACUUGUGCGAAUGACUGACAUAGAGAAGAAACCCAUUGCCAGCGAUUAAUUAGUAGGGUAGUAGCUCCGGUGACGAGUAAGAGGAAGAAGACGUGUCAAGGCAACCACCGAACUGCUACUUGCUGAGGUCACUAGAGUGAUUACGUGAGUGACUGGAGGGUUAUCAGAGGUGGAGAAGAUGGAAAGACUAAUUGUGGCUUAUCUCUAUAGUCAAAGAAGAUAGCAGGAAUGGUGGUCCAUACCUUCUCUAAUUGUCCAUCAAUUCUAUGCAAUUGGCCCAAGUUCCCUGCCCUUAUCACAGAAGAAUCUGUAUGGCACAGACUAUGGCUAUCACAAGAACAGUGGACAGAAGCAAAAGUAACAUAGAGGGCACCAACAGUGAAAACCAAUGUUCAACAGCAGCACACAGGAGAGCAUAUGGGCAUGCGAGCACCAAAUUUCAAUACAUAUGUAGAUAAAUGACACAGCAAAAGAGCAAGAGAAGAAGAAAAGAGGAAUCUGUUAUGUGGGCCAUCUGCUGUAGAGAACGAGAGCACCCGACAAUGGGCCAUGUAUGGCGGCACACUUGUAGUGCAGGGCAAGAUUGCCUUGACAGCCUUGCCACGGUUUGAAUACCCAAUUUAAUGGCAUGAACGAUUAAUAUUUUUUAAACUAGUGGCAUAUUACGGAGCUUUUCAUUAUUCAGUGACAGGUCUGGGGCCAGGGAACUAUUGAGUGGCCUGUAAGGAAAUAUACCUUUAGAAAAAUUGCAUAAAGUUUUGUCUGUGCGU